ACGGCCAUAUGUUGAAACACCGGUUCUCGUACGAUCACCGAAGUUAAGCAACGUCGAGUCUAGCCAGUACCUAGAUGGACAAUCGCUUAGGAAUAGCUGGUGCUGUAA
Acanthosepion pharaonis is the source of this 108-nucleotide non-coding RNA. NCBI's taxonomy places the organism in Eukaryota, Metazoa, Mollusca, Cephalopoda, Sepiida, Sepiidae. The record is from the annotation of a GenBank genome assembly.